Long non-coding RNA from Daphnia pulex (common water flea), 811 nucleotides. RefSeq lists it as uncharacterized. The record is from RefSeq and is a predicted model, not a curated record. The transcript has 3 exons. NCBI's taxonomy places the organism in Eukaryota, Metazoa, Arthropoda, Branchiopoda, Diplostraca, Daphniidae.
AAUAGCAUUUGGAAAAUUGGCAACAUGGCAACAUGCUUACUGCUUCGUUUACUUUCUGACGAGUGACUGCUAACUAAAAACAAAAAAAACCCAAAUACUUUUACGAGAUUUUAAGCAAUUUUCGUUUGUAUGUUCACAGUUACUGACACCGGAGUAAGGUCGUGAUAAUUCAGCCAUUUGUAUUUAAUCGAAUGUUAACGAAUUCGUCUAGCAAAUAAGUACAUUCAAAUAUUAAUGUAGGCAAAGAAAUGUCAUCUUAGAUAGCGAAAGUUUAACAAGCCGGGCAUCCUCCAUGGCCACCACCAUAUCCACCGCCGAAUCCGCCGUAGGAACCACCACCACCGACAGCUGUAGCUUGAGCGGCCUGGGCGGCGGAAUAGGCCUUGUUGGCCGCUUGCUGGGCAGCGGCAAGAUCAGCUAGUGAAGCCUGUUGCUUGUAAGCCAAAGCCUGGGCGUUCGCUUGGGCUUGGUAAGCCAUCUGAGAUUGGGUGAAAUAGUUAGUUAAUUUUAAGUUAAUUUUAUUUUGAAGUGCAUUAAUCUGUAAGUUUCAUUAAUAGAUUUUGUUGUCACCUGAGCUUGAGUGGCUUGCUGAGCUUGGGCUGCUUGAAGAGAAGCGACAGCCUGGGCAGCAUGUGACUGAGCGGCCUUGGCGGCAGCUGCCAAAGCUUGAGCCUGCUGCAAAGCCUGGACCUUGGUGGCUUCGGCAGCUUGAACGGCCUGUGCAGCUUGAGCAGCCUGGGCAGAUUCAGCGAAUGCGGCGGCUUGGGCAGCUUGGGCGGCCUGUGAAAUUUGAGCAGCCUGGGCUUGCUUG